This is a long non-coding RNA of Triticum urartu, 388 nucleotides long. RefSeq lists it as uncharacterized. The record is from RefSeq and is a predicted model, not a curated record. Lineage: Eukaryota; Viridiplantae; Streptophyta; Magnoliopsida; Poales; Poaceae.
ACUAUCCAACAAUACAUGAGCGGCCGUGCUCCACCAGUUGUUUUGUGGUUCUUGCAAUCAAGGGAGUUUCUCGCAAGACAGGGCCCUCCCUCUUCUACUUCUUCUACCACCUGUUGUUGUUGAUUGGUCUAUGCACGGUGAAGUGCGAGUCAAAGUCCGAAGCUGUCAAGCAUAUCAACAAGUAGUAGCAUAUUGUGUGUUGUAAUUGCAGGCAGUAGUAAGCAUAUCUGGCUUGUAGUAUAUUGUAAUGAUUGUAAUAGACUAAUGUAGUGUUGUUUUGGAUGAAUUUCGAUAAUUAUUGUGUAUGUGGUUUGAAUACCUGUGAAAUGGAAACCUGACAAUGGAGUCCAAGUUAUAAUGGCUGUUUGGCAAAGUUCGAAUUUUUUGA